RNAcentral lists this long non-coding RNA (960 nucleotides) under Triticum aestivum (bread wheat). RNAcentral describes it as "long non-coding RNA (TAES_LNC015573)". The record is from RNAcentral. Lineage: Eukaryota; Viridiplantae; Streptophyta; Magnoliopsida; Poales; Poaceae.
GUCUCUCUCUCUCUUUGAAACCGAAUUGAUCUCUUCUUCUUUUUUCUGUUCUAUACAAGUACGCACGAGUUAACUGAAACCCAAAGCACUCCAAGCUACAAGGACAUAUUCAGAUGGGAGUGUCACCAAACUGUGGCAAACUAAACUAGCACAUUGGAUUUGAUUGGCCCUAAAAGGCUAACUGCAAGCAAAGACUGGAGGAAGGAAGGAUCACCGGUCGAUGCUGCAGCAGCCCGCUGUUGAAGGCGUGGUGGUCCAGGCAGUGGAGGAAGACGAGGAGCAGAACAGGCCAUUGGUGGCCUGCUAGGUGCGCCCCUCCUCCUCGAGCGGGGCAAGGACGGCAGCCGCUAGGCUCGUCGAGCUCGGAAUCCUAUGGGAGGAAGGCCUCCGCGCCGCCCUGUCCCGAGAUCCAGCGCUUCGACCCGUCCGCGUGAUGGGUGACCUGCAGCAAGGGAUUGAAAAAGAAGGUGAGGUAGGGUGAGGAAGGGAGGUUGGGCUGGCAGUUGCUGCGGAUCCCGGCGAGGAUGGAGAGGGUGUACCUACUUGAGCCAGGCCGACGUUGGAGCCGCCAAAUCCCUAGCCGUGGGUGAGGGUAGGGGCCACGCCCGGCGGAUCUGGCCAUACUGGAUGAAGGACCGGUGAGAGGGGAGCGCGGAAGCCUGCUGCGCCCCGGUGGAAAUCGCCGGAACCCGCCGGCGUGGGCGGCGGCGGUGGCAUGGAGUCGCGUAGGGAGAGGGGGACUCGCGCGCGCGAGAGAGGAUAAGCAAAUCGAGCGGGUGGAGAAGGUAGAUCAGCUCGAGAGGGAGCAGUAGGUGGCAAGUACGGCGGCGAAGCAUGCCGGCAGUGGCCGGAAUCGAGCGGCGGCGCCGGCGGCGGAGACAGAGGGGAUCGGGCAGGAGAGCUGAGAGAGAUAUCGAGGGAGAAGUGAGAGAGAGAUGGAUGGAUUGGGUGGGUUUUUUU